GACGAACGCUGGCGGCGUGCUUAACACAUGCAAGUCGAACGGAAAGGCCCUGCUUUUGUGGGGUGCUCGAGUGGCGAACGGGUGAGUAACACGUGAGUAACCUGCCCUUGACUUUGGGAUAACUUCAGGAAACUGGGGCUAAUACCGGAUAGGAGCUCCUGCUGCAUGGUGGGGGUUGGAAAGUUUCGGCGGUUGGGGCUGGACUCGCGGCUUAUCAGCUUGUUGGUGGGGGAGUGGCUUACCAAGGCUUUGACGGGUAGCCGGCCUGGGAGGGUGACCGGCCACAUUGGGACUGAGAUACGGCCCAGACUCCUACGGGAGGCAGCAGUGGGGAAUAUUGCACAAUGGGCGGAAGCCUGAUGCAGCAACGCCGCGUGCGGGAUGACGGCCUUCGGGUUGUAAACCGCUUUCGCCUGUGACGAAGCGUGAGUGACGGUAAUGGGUAAAGAAGCACCGGCUAACUACGUG
RNAcentral lists this ribosomal RNA (468 nucleotides) under uncultured bacterium. Its description in RNAcentral is "partial 16S ribosomal RNA". It matches the Rfam family "Bacterial small subunit ribosomal RNA", at positions 28 to 507 of the family's 1533-position model. The record is from RNAcentral.